This 268-nucleotide long non-coding RNA is filed under the name Gorilla gorilla gorilla (western lowland gorilla). RNAcentral describes it as "lncRNA (ENSGGOG00000044400.1)". The record is from RNAcentral. Lineage: Eukaryota; Metazoa; Chordata; Mammalia; Primates; Hominidae.
GAACGGGGGAAGCUGAGGCCCUCAAAAUCAGCUGCUUACCCAGAGGAUCCUCCCUAACCCAUGGCAAACUGGGAUCUGGCAUCAACUCUGCAAUCACUGAGGCCGGCAUUUCAGCCCAGAUGGCCAAGCCUGGAGCCACUCUCUCUGUGUACUUCCUCUCCCUGCCCUGACCCAGAAACGCUGCCAAGCUCCAGAAAAGAAGCUGUGGUUCCAGCACUUUCGAAGGCCAAGAGAGGAAGAUCACUUGAGCCCAGGAGUUUGAGACCAG